GGUGUCUGCGGCGCCCAGCUGCCAGCUGCAGCCGGCCGUGGCGGGCGCGGGGGCGGCCUUCCGCGCCACCUACUACCACCAGCCGGCGCCCGACUGCCCGGCCGCCGCCAAGUACUGAGCGGCGCCUCUCCUUGCGAAUGAAACGUCAUCGUCCUCAUCAUCAUCGCUGUGGCCUGAACCCGCAGGUUACUUCGGAACGAUCUCCUACACGAAAAUCGUGUUGCUGUCUACAAAAGUGUAUAUUAUACAUAAACAAACAAUCUGGAGUCAGUUGGUGAUUACUUUUUGUGGUCCACUGUUUAUGUGUAAAUGUAUUUCAAAGAAUACUCUAUUAUAUUCCAAACUUAGUGGUGUUUUCGUGUAAACGUUUACGUACAUAUGUUGGGCAAGUGUAAUGAUGUAUAGAUGUAUAAGUUUUAUAUAUACAUAGUCGUAUGCCGCAUGUUACUAUGCAUUAAUUAAAAUGGCAGCAAUGAAGGAUUUAAAGUAAAAGAAGAUGGAGAAGUGUGUGAAUGUUGUUUAGCUUAUAAAUGCACUGGACGGCGGAUGGAAGUCAGAGUAAUAUCCUGUGUUAUCGACAACAUAUCUGUUGCAAUAUGGUGUGUGCCACUGCCUCACAGGACUUGCUGGAUUGUAACUUACUACUGUGAUUGUAUGUAUAAUUAGGAUAAUUUAAACAAAAUGUACUUGUUUUUUUGUAAAUUUAUAAUUCGAAUGAUUUAACUCACUGGAACAAGUUUUCACGUGAAAAUAAAGUUGCAAGUGGGGAAAAUUAUCAUAAUGACAGUGGAAGUCGUGCUGCUGUACAGAAAAGUGUUAAGGUUCGCUCUACAAUGCAGCUAACGGACCUCCGUUCUUAAAGCAAGGGUAAUUUCUGUGCGCUUUAGAAGCAAUAAAACAUGAAUUAAUUGUACUACAUAAAUAAAUAUAUCUCAGUUCUACUGUUGCUUAA
This is a long non-coding RNA of Schistocerca nitens (vagrant locust), 952 nucleotides long. RefSeq lists it as uncharacterized. The record is from RefSeq and is a predicted model, not a curated record. The transcript has 3 exons. Lineage: Eukaryota; Metazoa; Arthropoda; Insecta; Orthoptera; Acrididae.